UCAGAACAUUCAAACAAACUUGUGUUCAUAAAUUCAUUUUCAGAUGAAAUAUGGACAUUAUUUUACUUUGGUGCAAUUCCAUUAGUCUUAAUCUGAAUGGAAAAUUGCAAAACACAUUUCAGAAAAAUAAUUUAGUCAUUAAAGUCUGAAUGAAGCAAAAUUUCAAAAUCUGCUAUUCAAUUUUCGUUCAACAAAUUAAGGUUUUGACUGUUUCAAAUAAUCCUGAAUGGUGACCAAUGGGCAUCUGGUUCGGACGCUUACCACUUGACGCUUGAAGUGGACCAGACCACUUCAAUUUUCUUACCAUUUGGGACGAGGGCUGUUUUUAAUUUCUUCUAUUUGUUUAGCUGUAAAUUUUCCUUUUACUCAUUUACUGUACCC
Molecule: non-coding RNA, 381 nt
Organism: Pelobates cultripes (western spadefoot toad)
Lineage: Eukaryota; Metazoa; Chordata; Amphibia; Anura; Pelobatidae
Source: the annotation of a GenBank genome assembly